RNAcentral lists this ribosomal RNA (397 nucleotides) under uncultured bacterium. RNAcentral describes it as "partial 16S ribosomal RNA". It matches the Rfam family "Bacterial small subunit ribosomal RNA", at positions 523 to 918 of the family's 1533-position model. The record is from RNAcentral.
AUACGUAGGUGGCAAGCGUUGUCCGGAAUUAUUGGGCGUAAAGCGCGCGCAGGUGGUUCCUUAAGUCCGAUGUGAAAGCCCCCGGCUCAACCGGGGAGGGUCAUUGGAAACUGGGGAACUUGAGUGCAGAAGAGGAUAGUGGAAUUCCAAGUGUAGCGGUGAAAUGCGUAGAGAUUUGGAGGAACACCAGUGGCGAAGGCGACUGUCUGGUCUGUAACUGACACUGAGGCGCGAAAGCGUGGGGAGCAAACAGGAUUAGAUACCCUGGUAGUCCACGCCGUAAACGAUGAGUGCUAAGUGUUGGGGGGUUUCCGCCCCUCAGUGCUGCAGCUAACGCAUUAAGCACUCCGCCUGGGGAGUACGGUCGCAAGACUGAAACUCAAAGGAAUUGACGGGG